Molecule: ribosomal RNA, 305 nt
Filed under: uncultured bacterium
Lineage: Bacteria
Description: bacterial SSU rRNA
Rfam family: Bacterial small subunit ribosomal RNA
Source: RNAcentral
ACCUACGGGACGCAGCAGUAGGGAAUCUUCCACAAUGGGCGAAAGCCUGAUGGAGCAACGCCGCGUGGGUGAAGAAGGUCUUCGGAUCGUAAAACCCUGUUGUUAGAGAAGAACGUGUGUGAGAGUGGAAAGUUCACACAGUGACGGUAACUUACCAGAAAGGGACGGCUAACUACGUGCCAGCAGCCGCGGUAAUACGUAGGUCCCGAGCGUUAUCCGGAUUUAUUGGGCGUAAAGCGAGCGCAGGCGGUUGGAUAAGUCUGAAGUUAAAGGCUGUGGGUCAACCAUAGGAUGCUUUGGAAAAU